AUGCUGGUCAACCGGCCCACCAGUCCCAAUUUCACCAUGGGUCGCAAGGGGGAGUUCUCUUGGGUCAACAAAACGACAGUGGAUGACCCAGCACCCAACAGAUACAACACAGACCGGGCCUACAAGCAUGUGCUGUUCCGGUCGCCUUCCUUCAUCAUGGCUCCGGCCCAACACAUUGUGUUUGGAUGGGCAAAAAAAGGUCAAGAUCUAUAUAUAUAUAAAAGAGUGAUGGAAUCCUUCUAUAUAUAUAAGAGUGAUGGAAUCCUGGCGACCGCCAAAACAACAAAACUAAACACCCCACAACCUCGAAAAUUGACAACACAACCCAUCAUCCAUGCCUCUAGGUUGAUACAACAAAAAGAAAAGAAAAAUAAAGUCCUAAUUAGAGGGAGAGGAAGAAUUGUUUUUAUCCAAUUGCUGCCAGUUAGAAGGCUAAGCUGCGCCCACUUGGUCUCCUAGCAACCCACUCACCCAGGGGACAGUCAGAGUUAGGCCUCACUAAGGCCUCUUCCACACUGCCUAUAAAAUACAGAUUAUCAGAUUUUAACUGGAUUAGAUGACAGUGUAGACUCAAGGCCCUUCCACACAGCUAUAUAACCCAUAUAAUCUUAUAUUAUCUGCUUUAACUGGAUUAUCUGGACUCCACACCUUUACCCUUUACCUUAACUACCACCCAUUCCUCAAUACUUUAUUUCCCAUACCACCAGACUUCGCCACAGCAACGCGUGGCCAGGCACAGCUAGUAUUUUUAUAAAUGUUCCUGAAUUACUUUUCCUUCAAACAAGGAGUAGGAAGCACCUACUACAGUUGAUGUUAUACAUUUAGAAGGUUAUAUAUUCCAUCACUGGUCAAGACAACAGCUUUUCUUGUUAUUGGAAAUGGUUUUGCCAUUUGUUUACAUUCUCUUUUAGUAUCUAUAUAUUUUAAGAGUUGUACAUUAAUUUCGCUCCGGUGGCGAAGUGUGUUAAAGCACAGAGCUGGAGACCAAAAGGUCCCAGGUUCAAACCCCGGGAGCGGCAUGAGUGGCCGCUGUUAGCUCCAGUUCCUGCCAACCUAGCAGUUCGAAAACAUGCAAAUGUGAGUAGAUCAAUAGGUACCGCUCCGGCUGGAAGGUAAUAUCUCUCCUUGCAAUUGGCUACAUGACCUUGGAGGUGUCUAUGGACAACGCCAGCUCUUCGGCUUAGAAAUGGAGAUGAGCACCAUAGAAUCAUAGAAUAGUAGAGUUGGAAGAGACCUCAAGGGCCAUCUAGUCCAACCCCCCGC
This 1263-nucleotide long non-coding RNA is filed under the name Anolis carolinensis (green anole). RNAcentral describes it as "lncRNA (ENSACAG00000042154.1)". Lineage: Eukaryota; Metazoa; Chordata; Lepidosauria; Squamata; Anolidae. The record is from RNAcentral.